This 218-nucleotide ribosomal RNA is filed under the name uncultured bacterium. RNAcentral describes it as "partial 16S ribosomal RNA". It matches the Rfam family "Bacterial small subunit ribosomal RNA", at positions 113 to 334 of the family's 1533-position model. The record is from RNAcentral.
UAGUCUGGGAAACUGCCCGAUGGAGGGGGAUAACUACUGGAAACGGUAGCUAAUACCGCAUAACGUCGCAAGACCAAAGAGGGGGACCUUAGGGCCUCUUGCCAUCGGAUGUGCCCAGAUGGGAUUAGCUAGUAGGUGGGGUAAUGGCUCACCUAGGCGACGAUCCCUAGCUGGUCUGAGAGGAUGACCAGCCACACUGGAACUGAGACACGGUCCAG